AUGAUUUCCGGACUAUUUCUGGCCAAUGAGCUGAUUCCACAUGCGGAGCAGCAGUGAGUGAGCCACAUUCAAUAAAACGAGUAGCGCUGCAGAGAGUAGCCACUGACGAGAACUGCAACAUAGGGACAUAAGCAGAGCAGAACUGUGGUACGACUGCGGUAGAGAAUAAGUACGGGGCUUCUGCUGCAGACUGUGGGAAAUAAGUGGAACAUCUUAGCACAGUGGCUCGGGGGGGUCGUUUCUUAAAUUGGUACAGUAACAAUUAAACAGGAAUUGCAACUGUGAGAGCGGGAUAUUAUUAUUAUUAUUAUUUUUUUGCUUUUUAAGUGUGUGGGGGGGUUCAGUCAGUCAUUUUUUAGUUUGUUUCGCCGGGAGUUCAAUUUAUGUGAGCACAUUUUGUUUAAUUUGUGUUGCUUUUUCUCAAAGAGAAGGACUGCAUUUUUUUUAGAAGUGUGGAGGUCGUUAAAAACAAAGUCAAACUGUCUUGAGAAAAAGACGAAGAUCAACCAUGGAGAACGCUCACACAAAGACUGUGGACGAAGUUUAUAACAAUUUCAAUGUAAAUGAAAGCACGGGGCUGAGUCUGGACCAGGUGAAAAAGCUGAGAGAAAAAUGGGGACCGAAUGAGUUACCAGCAGAGGAAGGAAAAUCUGUGUGGGAACUCGUGCGUGAACAGUUUGAAGACUUAUUAGUCAGAAUUCUCCUGUUGGCAGCUUGUAUAUCUUUUGUAUUGGCCUGGUUUGAGGAGGGGGAAGAAACGAUCACAGCCUUCGUGGAGCCUUUCGUAAUCUUACUUAUUCUAAUAGCCAAUGCCAUCGUGGGUGUGUGGCAGGAAAGAAAUGCUGAAAAUGCUAUUGAAGCCCUCAAAGAAUAUGAGCCUGAGAUGGGAAAGGUUUACCGUCAGGACAGGAAAAGUGUCCAGAGGAUCAAGGCCAAAGAUCUUGUCCCCGGAGAUAUUGUGGAAGUAGCCGUUGGAGACAAGGUUCCUGCUGAUAUCAGACUGUCUUCAAUCAAAUCCACAACCCUGAGAGUGGAUCAAUCUAUCUUGACAGGUGAGUCUGUAUCUGUCAUCAAGCACACUGACCCAGUGCCUGACCCCCGCGCUGUGAACCAGGACAAGAAAAACAUGCUUUUCUGUGGUACCAACAUUGCCGCUGGCAAAGCUGUGGGUGUGGUGAUUGCCACCGGUGUUAACACGGAGAUUGGUAAGAUCCGUGAUGAGAUGGCGGCGACGGAGCAGGAGAGGACUCCCCUGCAGCAGAAGCUGGACGAGUUCGGAGAGCAACUGUCCAAAGUGAUCACUCUGAUCUGCAUUGCCGUCUGGAUCAUCAACAUAGGGCACUUCAACGACCCCGUGCACGGGGGCUCCUGGAUCCGCGGUGCUGUCUACUACUUCAAGAUCGCCGUGGCCCUGGCCGUGGCUGCCAUCCCCGAGGGGCUGCCCGCCGUCAUCACCACCUGCCUGGCCCUGGGCACCCGCAGGAUGGCCAAGAAGAACGCCAUCGUCCGGAGCCUGCCCUCCGUCGAGACCCUGGGCUGCACCUCCGUCAUCUGCUCUGACAAGACCGGCACGCUCACCACCAACCAGAUGUCUGUCUGCAAGAUGUUCAUUGUUGACAAAGCCGAGGGAGACAGCUGCAAACUGAACGAGUUCAAUAUCACUGGCUCUACAUACGCACCUGAAGGAGAUGUGUUUAAAGAUGGAAAAUCUGUCAAAAGCUCCCAGUACGAUGGCCUGGUGGAACUGGCAACCAUCUGUGCACUGUGCAAUGAUUCCUCUCUGGAUUUCAAUGAGGCGAAGGGAGUGUUUGAAAAGGUUGGAGAGGCCACCGAGACUGCCCUCACCUGUUUAGUGGAGAAGAUGAAUGUGUUCGAUACAGAACUGAAGGGACUGUCCAAGGUUGAACGUGCCAAUGCCUGCAACUCUGUUAUUAAACAGCUGAUGAAGAAGGAGUUCACCUUGGAGUUCUCCCGCGACAGGAAGUCCAUGUCUGUCUUCUGCACCCCGAACAAGGCCCGCACCACCACCAUGCACAAGAUGUUUGUCAAGGGAGCCCCAGAGGGGGUGAUUGAAAGAUGCACACACGUCAGAGUUGGAGGCAGUAAGCUUCCCCUGACACCUGGCAUUAAAGAGAAGAUCAUGACUGUGAUCAAGGAGUGGGGUACCGGCAGAGACACGCUGCGCUGCCUGGCUCUCGCCACUCGAGACAAUCCACCAAGGAAAGAGGACCUUGUGCUGGAGGACUGUACACGCUUCGCUGGGUACGAGAGUGACCUGACCUUUGUGGGUUGUGUGGGUAUGCUGGAUCCCCCAAGAACAGAGGUCGCUGCCUCCAUUAGGCUCUGCAGACUGGCUGGCAUCCGCGUCAUCAUGAUCACCGGAGACAACAAGGGUACGGCUGUGGCAAUCUGCAGGCGCAUCGGCAUCUUCGGUGAGGAUGAAGACGUGACUGACAGGGCGUUCACAGGCCGAGAGUUUGACGAUCUCUCCCCAAGUGCGCAGGGAGAAGCAGUCAAGAAUGCACGCUGCUUCGCCCGAGUCGAGCCCUCGCACAAGUCCAAGAUCGUAGAGUUCCUGCAGUCUUUCGAUGAGAUCACUGCCAUGACUGGCGAUGGUGUGAAUGAUGCCCCUGCCCUGAAGAAGGCUGAGAUCGGUAUUGCAAUGGGCUCGGGCACAGCUGUGGCAAAGUCCGCCUCGGAGAUGGUUCUGGCAGACGACAACUUUUCCACCAUUGUAGCUGCAGUGGAGGAGGGCCGCGCCAUCUAUAACAACAUGAAGCAAUUCAUCCGCUACCUCAUCUCCUCCAACGUGGGAGAGGUCGUCUGUAUUUUCCUCACUGCUGCUCUGGGCUUCCCCGAGGCCCUGAUCCCUGUUCAGCUGCUCUGGGUAAACCUGGUCACUGAUGGACUGCCGGCCACAGCCCUGGGCUUCAACCCCCCUGACCUGGACAUCAUGGACAAGCCUCCCCGCAACGCCCGUGAGCCCCUCAUCAGCGGCUGGCUCUUCUUUAGAUACAUGGCCAUUGGAUGUUAUGUGGGAGCUGCCACAGUUGGUGCUGCAGCCUGGUGGUUUAUUGCUGCUGAAGAUGGACCCCGAGUCACCUUCUACCAGCUGAGCCACUUCUUGCAGUGCAGUCCUGACAAUCCAGAUUUCCAAGAUGUAGAGUGUGAAAUCUUUGAGUCUCCCUACCCAAUGACCAUGGCUCUGUCUGUGCUGGUGACCAUUGAGAUGUGCAAUGCACUGAACAGCUUGUCUGAGAACCAGUCCCUGAUCAGGAUGCCUCCUUGGGAGAAUGUUUGGCUUCUGGGAUCCAUCUGCCUGUCAAUGUCCCUGCAUUUCCUUAUCCUCCAUGUUGAGCCACUGCCAAUCAUUUUCCAGAUCACCCCCUUAAACGUCCUUCAGUGGAUGAUGGUGCUAAAGAUCUCCCUCCCAGUAAUCCUCCUGGACGAAAUGCUCAAAUUCACGGCCCGCAACUACCUGGAGCCUGGUAAAGAGUUUGACAAGCCCGUGGGCGGCAAGUGUGGUUUCUCCGCAUGCACAGAGGGGAUCUCGUGGCCGUUUGUGCUGGUCUCUGCACCCUUGAUAGUCUGGCUGUACAGUAUAGACACUAACAUUUCCAUGUUCUGGUCUUGACUGACAUUGAUUGGUUUGGGUAAAUAAAAAUAAAACAUUGCUAAAAAGAAAAGUAACAACCAUUAACUUGUAAGUGUACCCAAAGUUGUACCGUUUUAAACAGCUGUCUGAAUCUGCUGGAUGUUUUUUUUUUUUUUUUUUUUUUUUUUUUUUUUUAAAGCAUCAGUUUUCAAGUUUUUUUUUUGUCUUUGUACAUGGUGUGGUUUUUUUAUUUUUGUUGGAGGUUUUCCUCCCCCCGCCCCCCCCCCCCAAAUGAGAAUAAAGAAAUGUCCAUUGACAUGUACAGAGAUUUAACACUAUUUUAUGCAAAUAUUGUUUUUGUAGAUUUGAAAGAAGUAGAAAAAAAAAAAAAGCAUGUACAGCAUUCUGUUUUAUCAUAUUUUGUGUUGUACAAAUUCAGGAGCCAGUGGACAUUGCUGUUUAGAGAUUAAUUUGCAAGAACGUUUUUUUAAAGUGAAUGUUGACUUAAAACAAAACUGCAUGUACUGUGUUCCUGCAUGAACUGGUGGGGUUUCCUGUUCAUUUUGAUGACCUUUUCCAUGCUUGUUUUAUUUUAUCUGCUUGUUUUGUAUUUCAAAGCCAGUUUUUCUGCAUCAGGCAGAGCACAGCUACCUCAAUCAAUAUUGCUUUAGUCUGUACCCUACUGUUUUUAAUCUCAUGUUUACAUCCCCAGUGAUGUUUUGAGGUAUGCCCAUACUUGCUUGUGCAGAAAAAAAAAUGUUCUCCCCAUUGAUUCAACAAGUUUGUUUUUUUCCAUACAAUUUUUAAAAAUAUUUAUUUGUCUAUUUGUAUUUUAUCUGAAUAGUCAUAUAUGGAUUUUGUUUUUCAUUAAACUUUUUUUUGAGGGGCAGUGUUACCCUUUUCUUUAUAACAUGGGGGUUAAUUCAGACUAGUUUAAAAAAAUACAAUGAAAUAAAUUGUUUUUAAAUUAACCUGAAGUUAAAACUAAUACAAUCUCCUGAUUUUUAAUUGUUUUUGUGUUUUUCUAUUUUAUUUAAAACUACAUUUGAACAUAUCGUUAGGUUUUUGUCUUAAUUUAUAAGCACUAAGACAUUAUCAUUGUGAUCAUUUCUAUACAAAGCAUUUAUAUGUGCAGUGAAUAUCGUGGAUGAUUGUUAAUAGUUUGCUACCUGAGCACAAGAAAGCCAAUGGUUUGGUCCAUGUUCAUUUCGCACAAUCUCUGGAAAUUCCUUAGCCUACACAGGUCCUGCAUACAAGGAAAGGGGCUGAAGGAGUCUGUAAAUUUGUAUAUACCACAUAACCAAAAACGUAACGAUGUAUAGUAGAAGGACCAGUUUUAAGGUUUAACGUACUAUCACACUAAUUUGUAGAUGUCACAGGAAUAUAAUCGACAAUAGCGUAGUAACCCUCUGGAGCAUGUUUUCCGCACUACCAGACCAGUAUUGCUGUGUUUUAUAUUCACAAGCCUAACUGCUGUUUUCCUCCAAUGCCUUCCAACGUCCAACUAAACAAGAGACGGGUAAUCCCCUCUUCUCGUAAACAUUUGUUUCAGUGUGCAUGUGUGUUUUUAGCAGCACAUCUACUAAGACAGCUGCAUGUAUAAUGUGCAAACAGAAAAAGAUUUUAAAAAAGAAAAAAACAGGUGUGCUAAUAUAUAGGGCUUAUGAAGAAGCAGCAGCAGCAGCAGAAACUGCAAUGCAUCCAGAACAACUAGGGCAACGCACAAGAGAAACCUGCGGUACUAUUGCUGCAUGGAAGACCAGCCUUCCUUACCCUUGAUCCUUAACACACAGGCAAGGAGCUGUCACACCAACUUCUCCACACUUCACAAUGUGUAAAAUGUCGUAGUUUAUAUAAAUGUAUAAUAUAAUUUACUGUAAUGCAUGUCUCCAGUUGUAAGUAGCCAAAACUGUAUUUUAUCAACUAAAAAUUUCUUUAUAAACAGCUAUGUACAAUAUUGCUAUAUAUUCUAUAUCUAUAUAUAAAUCCAUGAAAAAAACAACAGAUGUUUAGUGUUAAAAACUGUAAACCUUCAGUCCAUGAUUUCACAACCAGAUAUUUUUCCUAAGGAAAGCUUUUCUUUCAGUGUUUAUUUAUUUAUUUUUUUGGGUGUGCAAAAUAAUGGAAUAGAAAUUACUUUUUUGCACUGUAAUAACGUAACUUAAAGAGUAUAACUCAGUAGUUUGGCAGACAUUGGUGCGUUAUAGAAUUAUGAUGCAUACAUUGUGAAACAAUCUGUGGGUAAGGUUAGCAGCAUGUUUUGGCUAUGUAGACUACUGUAAAUAAGAUCAAGCGUUUAUUUCAGCUCUGAUGAUUGUAACAUGCAUCACAUGAAAUUCAUGGUUUCAGGUAAAUAAAACUAUUAUACGAGA
This is an RNA transcript of Acipenser ruthenus (sterlet), 5967 nucleotides long. It is a transcript of the gene named sarcoplasmic/endoplasmic reticulum calcium ATPase 2-like, with no coding region annotated. The record is from RefSeq and is a predicted model, not a curated record. NCBI's taxonomy places the organism in Eukaryota, Metazoa, Chordata, Actinopteri, Acipenseriformes, Acipenseridae. The transcript is spliced from 21 exons.